UAGCCCACAUGUUAGUUGAGGAACAGCUUCAAGCUGAUCAUUCAGAGCCUAUGCUCAGCCCUUGGAACACACCCAUCUUUGUCAUUAAGAACAAAUCUGGUAGUUGGAGAUUAUUCCAAGACCUUAGAGCUAUUAAUCAUGUCAUAGAGCCCAUGGGAGCAUCACAAUCUGGGCUUCCUUCUCCUCCAGUUAUUCCUUUAGAUUAUUAUUUGAUAGAAGUAGAUCUAAAAGACUGUGUUUUUUCUCUAUACUUUCCAUCCAUAUGACUGUAAAAAGUUUGCCUUUAG
Molecule: small RNA, 287 nt
Filed under: Marmota monax (woodchuck)
Lineage: Eukaryota; Metazoa; Chordata; Mammalia; Rodentia; Sciuridae
Source: RNAcentral